UGGGGAAUUUUGCGCAAUGGGCGAAAGCCUGACGCAGCGAUUCCGCGUGAAGGAUGACGCAUUACGGUGUGUAAACUUCUUUUUUGGUGGAAGACGAAUGACGGUACGCCAAGAAUAAGGGACGGCUAACUACGUGCCAGCAGCCGCGGUAAUACGUAGGUCCCGAGUGUUAUCCGGAAUUACUGGGCGUAAAGAGUCUGUAGCUUGAUGCAAAAGUCUGUUUUCAAAUCUCUCGGCUCAACCGAGAAAAGGGAAUAGAUACUUUGUAUCUAGAGAUCAUUAGGGGUUAGUGGAAUUUCCGGUGGAGCGGUGAAAUGCGUUGAUAUCGGAAGGAAUGCCGAAAGCGAAAGCAGCUAACUAUGGUGAAUCUGACAGUGAGAGACGAAAGCUUGGGGAGCAAACAGG
Molecule: ribosomal RNA, 405 nt
Filed under: uncultured bacterium
Lineage: Bacteria
Description: bacterial SSU rRNA
Rfam family: Bacterial small subunit ribosomal RNA
Source: RNAcentral